CUCUUAUCACGAGAGGCGGAGGGACUGGCCCUAUGAAGCCCGGCAACCAUCAAACAUUGUUUGAAAGGUGCCAAAUCCUGCUAAGUCUAAGACUUAGAUAGAUGAGAG
Molecule: non-coding RNA, 108 nt
Filed under: Pontibacillus yanchengensis
Lineage: Bacteria; Bacillati; Bacillota; Bacilli; Caryophanales; Bacillaceae
Also listed under: 1 other name
Description: SAM-I sequence
Rfam family: SAM riboswitch aptamer (S box leader)
About the family: The SAM riboswitch is found upstream of a number of genes which code for proteins involved in methionine or cysteine biosynthesis in Gram-positive bacteria.
Source: RNAcentral